AGGGUGUUUGAAGAAGCUCUGCAGGUUCAGACUUCAGACUUAGAAAACAUCCCCGACCAGCUGAAGCUGCCAGUCUGUGUGACUGUUUUCUGGUUUAAGAAGCUACAGCACCACCCAAAGCCUGAAACUGUAAACUGCCUCCAUGCUCUCCUGCUGUGGUUAGUGUGUGAGCCCGAUGGUCCAGAGGACGAGUUUGAGAGGAAGAUGAAAGCUUUAAAGGAUGAAGUUGUGCGUAACUGGCAGCCAUGUGUGGCUCAUGCUUUCAGCCAAUGGCAGUGCUGCAUGAGGCAGAGCCUCCACCUGAACCAGCUGCUGUGUUCCCCUCUACCAGAACCUCAGUGUGCACGACUUUACUGUGGACCUCUCCUUCAUCGGCUGGCAGAUGAAGACACGAUUAAACAACUACAGAAAACACUGAAAGGACAAAAGAAGGAAAUAUAUAAAAAUUUAAAGACCAUUCUUAAUCCAACAACUACUGAGGAGGGCUCCUCAAGUGAGGAAGGAUGUUAACAACUGGUGUUAUUGAGGAAGAUGGCAUCCAUCCCACUUUGGAUGGUGCAGCUCUCCUUUCUAGACAUCUGGAUGAAUUUAUCCAGAAUUCAAACCAGAAAAUAGAGUUAAGGGCUUACAUGCAACUCUGAACAGUCCCUCGUCCUGUCACCUACCCCCAAAACCCUGUCCUCACAGAGGCUGUGACUCCAUAACACCAAAGAGCCAAAAGAGCUAAAUGUGGUUUACUGAAUAUAUUAUUUUUACAGUAAAAGUUAAGAACACAAAGAAAUGAGUGACGCAGUUUAAAGAUCGAUGGCUUCCUCUCCUCCUCCCUCCUUUUGUCUUUGGGUAAAGAUGAUAACAUUUUAGAAACUAAAACUAAUGCACAACUAAAACACAAUCCUACUUCUAAAUGAAAUACAGGAAGUAGAAAAAUAGUGAAAUAAAGAGCUGUCGGUGUGGUUUUACGUUGUUUUACUCAGUAGUUGAACUGAACUGAAUCAAAUUUAGCUAAUGAGCAGCAGGAACCUGAAGAAAGCAGCAACAUGGAUUCUAGUCAGGUGUUUAAUGAGCAGCUGAGAGAGGAGAGAAGAAUUUAUCAGGGAAAUGAGGCAGACAUUAGUAGCCGGUGUUCAUUAACCCCACAUUGUCUGCACAGGAUAACUCACAUGCACAACAGCCAAUAAGAGCUCAGGCCAUAAGACGUCCACAUGCAGGAAACACCUCGAUUUCACCUUCUUGUUAUUAUUUUGUGUCUACAGUGUGACCAUGCACAGGCCCACAAAUCUGGAAUAAUAUUGAAAGCUCUUUAAAAAUAUUAACGCCUUUCUCUGUAUUCAAACGGACGCAAGGAUUGUGUGUUGCAAGGAUUUUUCAAAACUUGUAAUCGAAGUGCUAU
Long non-coding RNA from Maylandia zebra (zebra mbuna), 1390 nucleotides. RefSeq lists it as uncharacterized. NCBI's taxonomy places the organism in Eukaryota, Metazoa, Chordata, Actinopteri, Cichliformes, Cichlidae. The record is from RefSeq and is a predicted model, not a curated record.